Molecule: ribosomal RNA, 483 nt
Filed under: Staphylococcus epidermidis
Lineage: Bacteria; Bacillati; Bacillota; Bacilli; Caryophanales; Staphylococcaceae
Description: bacterial SSU rRNA
Rfam family: Bacterial small subunit ribosomal RNA
Source: RNAcentral
UUUAUGGAGAGUUUGAUCCUGGCUCAGGAUGAACGCUGGCGGCGUGCCUAAUACAUGCAAGUCGAGCGAACAGACGAGGAGCUUGCUCCUCUGACGUUAGCGGCGGACGGGUGAGUAACACGUGGAUAACCUACCUAUAAGACUGGGAUAACUUCGGGAAACCGGAGCUAAUACCGGAUAAUAUAUUGAACCGCAUGGUUCAAUAGUGAAAGACGGUUUUGCUGUCACUUAUAGAUGGAUCCGCGCCGCAUUAGCUAGUUGGUAAGGUAACGGCUUACCAAGGCAACGAUGCGUAGCCGACCUGAGAGGGUGAUCGGCCACACUGGAACUGAGACACGGUCCAGACUCCUACGGGAGGCAGCAGUAGGGAAUCUUCCGCAAUGGGCGAAAGCCUGACGGAGCAACGCCGCGUGAGUGAUGAAGGUCUUCGGAUCGUAAAACUCUGUUAUUAGGGAAGAACAAAUGUGUAAGUAACUAUGCACG